AAUAAUGCAUACCACCCUGCAUCCCACUGCUGGCUUGCCUCUGAAGUUAAGCAGGGUUGGUCCUGGUCGGUCCCUGGAUGGGAGACCAGAUGCUGCUGGAAGUGGUGUUG
Molecule: ribosomal RNA, 110 nt
Filed under: Hucho hucho (huchen)
Lineage: Eukaryota; Metazoa; Chordata; Actinopteri; Salmoniformes; Salmonidae
Source: RNAcentral